AAUGACGCUUGCAGCGGUCACACACAGAUAAUUGUGUCUGUUCCUUACUGCUCCACAGAGCUGCAGGACUUCAGAUUGAAAAAUGUACCACAGUGAACAAAAAUGAGACAGGAGCAGCAAACAGCGGAAACAAUUUGGAGUGCAGAGUCAACAGAAGAAGCUCUGAUAGUUCCACCAGGUGAACUCACGCAGCGUUGGGGGCAGCGGCAGGUAGAAGGCCGUGGCGUCCUCCAGGCGGCUCAGCACCUCGUCCAGACCUGACGCUGCAGCUCGGCCCACCUGAGUCUCCUGCAGCUGCCUCACCGCCGCCCUGCCAGCAUCGGCCACACGCUCCAACCGGUCCAGAGUUCCGUCCAGCCCGUCCACCACCCACAGCUGCACGUCAUCCAGGGUCAGGAAGAAGGCGUCCCUCAGGUGACUGAUCACCUGACAGGAAGAGACCAACAGGAACACUUCACCAGCUGACCACACAACCUCCACAACAUCCGCAACAAAUAUCACACAUCUGCAUCUGAUCCAUGUUGCAAUGAACAGCUGCAUCUAAUGUUGGCAGCUAAAGAGCUAAUGGAGGAAGACAAAAAUAACCAGGAAAUAUGCAAAACUACUGCUGAUAUUGUUCAGAUUCUUCUGCUGGUAGAAAUUCAGACUGUGCACCUCUGAAUCUGGAAAAUAACAAUAUUGUAUCUAGGUAUUUACAAUAAUAAUAUUAAAGAGACUCUAGAAAACAGUAGAAAAUACCACACAGAUUCUUGUAUAUGUAGAGAAAUUGAUAUUUUACUAAGUUCUUUCAAUACUACUAAAUAUUGAUAAUGCAGUUUGAAUGUGUUGAUGUGAAGUAUGUUAGUUUCUCCAUUAGUGGUUUAGUUUCUCCCUCAAAGUUAAAACCUGCUGAACCAGAAAUCAGAAUAAAAGUUCAUUUUCUUCUAUCAUCUAUUUGGCAAAAAUGUAAAAAACCUGGAGUCAGCAUGUCAGAGGUUACCAACACUGUAACAAAUAGAGGCUCCACACACUCUAGAUAUUUAACUAUAGAAACAAUACAGAAAAACAUAAAAAUCCUUGGAUUUUUUGUAAAAUAAAAAGAGCCGUCAGCUGAAAUGCAGGCUGGAGAUACUGACACCAUAAAAUAAGAUUUUAAAACUAAUUUGUGUCAUGUCUGAAGCAUUGUGAAGUGGAUCUGAGAGCUUCAUGUCAUUUUAAGAUAUGAAUCAAACAUGUUUGUAAUUAAAUGUUUUCUGAUAUGUAGAACACAACGAACCUCGUCUGUGGACUGGUUCAGGAUGGGGAAGUUUCUCUCCAGACGGUCGAGACCAACGAGAGCAUAACUGUUGGCGACGUCAACUGCAGAGAAGAAAGACAAUCUGGAUUCACUGUGGACUCGGAACCAGCAAAACCAGGACAGCAUCAGGAGUAGUAUUAAUAAUAUUGGUAGUAUUUGUACGUACUCUGUGGCUCCAGACUCUGGAGGAGGGGCGUGGCCCUUCUCAUGGCUUGGUAGGAGAUGCUGCGAACGCCGACCUCGGCCACGUCCCCCACCAGACCCAGCAGGGGGUAGCGACCUUUGACUCCCGAGUACGCUGUCGUCACUGACUGCAGCGCUGAGCGAACCAAUGGCAGCUGGGAAACUCUGAGCACGGCGCUGGUCUGAAACACCGAGCGGAAACGUCACUAAGCAAGGUCCAACAAACUAGUUCCAUAACUCAUCCAACCAGCCAUUCUUCAGAUCAUCCAGCCUUCGGUCCAACCAGCUGCAACCAACCAUCCAGCUAUUUUAGCAAAUAUCUAAAAAACCAGUUCCAAUGCAAAAAACAUUCAACCACUUCCACCGACCAAUUUCAAAACAACAUCCAGUUCCAAACAACACAGCCAUCUGUCCUACCAGCUCUACCAACCUACCAUCCAACCUACCAUCCAACGAACCAGGUUCAACCACCCAAACUUUAAACCAACCAUCCUACCAGGUCUAUCCCCCAUUAAACCAGUUCCAUCAACCAACUGACCAACCAUCCAAACAGCUCUAUCCACCAAUUAACCAGUUCUAUCAACCAACCAUCCAACCUGUUGCAGCAACUAUUCAACUAACCAGUGUCAACCAACCAUCCAACCAGCUCUCUAUACCAAUAAACCAGUUCUACCAACCAACUGAGCAACCAUCCAAACAGGUUCUACCAAUCAUCAGUCAAACCAACCUACCCUUCAACCACCUGCCCAAACAGUUCCAACUAACCAUCCAAACUGCUAUAGCAACUAUCAGACUAAUCGAUUCCAACCAAUUAAACAUCCAUCCAGUCCUAACAAUCGCUUUCAACCAACUAGUUAGUCUACCCACUAACAAUUCAGUUCCACUAUUUCUCCAACCAGUUCCAACCAACAUCCAAAUCUAUCCACCAACCAAGCAACGACAUCAUCCAGUUCCAACCAAACAACAAACUUUCAACCAUCCAUCCAACCAGUUCUGCCUCCCCAAAACCAGAACCAUCUGACCCACCACCCAACUAAUUUAACCAAUCAUCCGCCCAGUGUCAACCAACCAUUCAAUUCCAAACAACACAACAAUUUAACCAUCUGUCUAACCAACCAACCAACCAACCAUCCAGUUCUAUCUACCUACCUACCUACCAACCAAACUUUCAACCAUCCAUCCAUCCAUUCAUCCAAGCAGUUCUACCAAUCACUUGACCAACCAGUUACACCAACUAACCAACCAUCCAAAAUGUUUUACCAACCAUUAGACUAAUCAGUUCCACCAUUUUUCCAACCUGUUUCAACCAAUCAUUCAACCAGUUCUACCAACUAUGCAUCUCAUCUGUUGCAGCAACCAUCAGACUAAUCAGUUCCAACUAACCAACCAUCUAUCCAGUUUAACCGUUCUACUAGUUGUAGGCAAUAAAGCUGGAACCAGGGAACAUUCUGGACAUUUCAGAGAUAUUUGCAUUUUUACUACUUUAAAUACUUCAAGUAUCUUCUCCUGAUUAUAAACAAUAUUUGUAUUUUGACUUGUACUUGCAGCAUUUUUUACAGCAUAAUAUUUGUACCGACUCGUUCCUCCACCAUGUGCAGAUGUUUGUGUAACAGUAUAUAUGUGAUGUAUAAUUCCACUUGCUGUAAUUUGGUUGUAUUUAUUGUUGUUGGCUCAAUAGCGCCCUCUCUGGAACUGUAGUAUGCACCUGGCGUUGGUGGCAUGCUGUCAGUCCCUGAGGCGUGUACGAGGUAAGUCAGAGAGCACAGCACGGGAUCAUAAAUGGUUACCUUUUUGGUGUCCUUUUGUGUAUUUCAUGGGUAUAUGUACACUAUGAUCUAUCCAGAUGAUGAUUAGAGUGUGGUGACAUAGACAUACAUUUAAUGUUUUUAUGUGUUUGGACAUGUAGUUAGGGAGUUUGAGACUCUCUGUGAGCUAGCUAUGUAGCGAACGUUAGCUUAAUGAACGUGCUCUUUUCUUUAGUGUGCUGUGCAUGAGACGACUGAGGCCGCUGAACGGAGGUUUCCUUGUUUUAUCAGGUACGUACUCUGUGUUAUUACUGUGUGUUAAUAUUGUAUAAUUGUGUAAAAAUACUGUCAGUUCCUGAGAGGCGUGUACGAGUGCGCUGACCAGAAGUUUCCUUAUUUUACCGGAAUAAAUGGCACAAAGAAGACACCUGAGCCUUCCGAAUUCUUUAUUAAAAAAUAGCAACACAGAGUCGAGGGGUUUUUGAACCAGCCAGUGACAGUGUGACUGCGCAUGGUUACAUUUGGACUCACUUUGUGGUGCUGAUUGGCCAACAUUUCUGGUUCUCCAAACCUGCAGAGGAGAGAACAGAAGAUCUGGUGACUGACUGGAAGCAGCAUGAGGCAGUCAGCUGCUGAUAAUCCACAAAGCUGCUUCCUGUUCAGAUGCAACCAGCAUAAAAAAUCAGCUUCUAAUGUGAGCCUCAGCAGCUCCAACCACCAUCAUCUGCUUUAAUCACAUUUAGCCUCAGCUAAAUCAGCCCUCUCUUUAGGAGGCAUUUACAUAAAGCAAAGACAUCAUGAGGGAACAUUUUACUGCUGCACAUAAAUGAUCUGCUUUCACAUUUAACCAAACAUCAACUUUUAAUUCUGAGAAACUUUUUACAGCAGCAGUCAUAAGUUUGGAGACAGGUUUUGGUCCACAGUAAAUUCUUUAUAAAAUAAACACUGUAGCAUCCACAUUAUUUUCUAUCUAAAAGUUAAAAAGUUUUAAUUCACCUUGAGGUAUUUUAACAACAUUUUGUGUUGGAGCUUGUUGAGAAUAUUUUACAUUUCGUGAAUUUCCCCGGUGGAGAUCAAUAAAGUUAAUCUAAAUUUACUGCAAAUCUUUGGUUCAGUUUGUGUAAAUUCAGACAGAAUUAAGAAAAUAUUUCUGCAACAUGUUAGAUUUAGUUCAGAGUUUAUUUAUUUAUUAUUUACGAUCCCGAACCAGGUUCUGUAUAUAAUUUUGGCUGAAAUUUGAAAAUUCAUGUUUUAACACCAGUAAAUUAUUGUAUUUUUGCUUUAAAAUAAAACCUGUGGAGACAUUUUGGUAUCUCCAGAAAUAAGAGUCACACAGACAUGAAAUGUGACAGGACAGAAUCAUGUCCUGCUGAUCCUAAAUUUAAUUAACUGACCCUUGAAAAUAUAAAACAAGCAAAUUAUUCGAAUGAGGCUGAAAUUUGGUCUUUACAAGCAAAUGUCCUUCAUGACUAUAUCUGGACGUAUCAGUACUUUAAAAACUAUUUUCAGCACCAGAAAACACCCACCGCUGUUGCUCUUUUACUUUAGAGUCAUUUGCACAGUUUAAAGUCAAAGUGUUCUGUCAGGAUGAAUAAACUGAUCAGAUACAAUCAAUCAAUCAAUAAGACAGAUCUGUAAACACAAAGAGCUCCACAACAACAACAUGGAGAAAUGUACAAUCUUGUUCACAAAUUAAUCAUAAUUUGCGAUUUGAAAUUCUCCUAAAAUGAGAAAAUUAAACCAAUAUAUGCGUUUAAAGUCAAAGGUUGUCUCCUCAGAUAUUAAACUAGAUGUUAUAUCAUUAAAACAUAUAAUAAACUGCACUGUAAAAAAUGGUGAAAUAAGGAGUGUGAGGGUUGAAGCCACACCCAACACACCAGAAUAACAAAAAACACUAAAGUGACUCAGAAUUAACUAUAAAGUAUCUUAAACUUUUUGGGUUUUCCGCCAUUCAGCUGACAUUUAAAAUCUUUCACUUUUAAAAUCAGCUCAUUGAGUUUCUGUUAUUUCUGCAGCACCUUUAAACCAACAGACCAAAAUGUUUUCCAUCACAGAAAUAAGAUUACUACAGACUAUUUAUCUGCUGAGAUUAGAUUUUAAAUCUACCACUGUUUUCUUGUUUCUCUCUUUUUAAUGUUAAGUGCUUUAAAACGAUUAUAAUUAGAGAGAUUCCCUCAGAGCAGCUCUUGGUAUAAAUUGUUAUUUUUUUCAAAUAGGGAUUUUCAAUCUUUCCUGAGUAGAUACUAUUUUAAGAAUUGAUCAAAAAUUCAUUCUGUCCACAAACUUUCCCCACAAUUCCUAUCAAAUGCAAAAAUCUUCAGUUUAGAGAGAAACCAAAGAGAAGUAAAAUAAUGUACCUGAGGAACGAAUUCAUCUUCCAGACAGACUGCAGGUCUUCAGAGGUUGAGAGGAAGAUGAAGAUGCUCCGACUUUAUAACCUGCUGGGGAAGGUGUGGAUGUGGACAUCAGCGCUGUGAUUGGCUGGAGCGUGCUGUGAUAUCACUGUGUCUCUGACGAAUCAAUUAACUCUGAAUCAAAGGAUCAUUUAGCAGGAAAACCCCGUAAAGCCUAGAAAAUUCAUGGCUUCUGGUUUCACUAAACAACAACCGAACCCUGUGAUCAGCUGGUUCAGAGUUUCUGAAUCUGAUCCGUCCAGAUACAAAUAUUUAUCACAACAAUUAAAUCCUGAACCAAAGUGAAGAUUUAAAAACAGGAAACAGGUGAGCGGUGAUAGAAAUCAACCCUCGGAGUCGUUUCUCUGCAUUUUCUGCUUCUGGUUCAUUUUUCAAUCUAAAGUCCUGCAGCUCUGUUGAAACAGAACCACAUGAAGAAGAAGAGAACUCAGAAAUAUCUUCUGUCAGGAGGACACAGAAUGAUGGAAGUUUAAUUUCUUUGAUUUUUUUAUUUUUACAAAACUGUAAAAAACUUGGACCCGUAGCGUUCAACAUGAUUCCACAGAUGUUAAAACUCUGAACUAAUGUUGUCUCCUCAUACUGUAGAUAUUUGACUAUAAUUGUCGUCUCCUCUCUGCUCUGAGGAAACACUGCCUGCAGUUCAGCUGAAACAUUGAGUGUUGGUUGAAACUGAGUCAGUCAUGACUUCAUGGUUGCAUCAAAGUGUUCAAAAUUUUAGUUUUUUAUGGAAUCUAGUUUGUGCCGAUGGUUAACUUUUAAAUGACAUGUGAGGCUUUAAAGUGAUUUUGAUCAAAUCUUACAAUUUUAAGAGGUUUGGUUCAGUUUUCUGACAGAAGAUGAAUAGUUCAAAGAUUGACAGAAUGUUGGAAAUCUGAUUCUGGCUGGUAAAUUACACCGUUGCUUUUUAACCCACUUGAAUGAUUUCAAGAUUCAGAGAGUUUAAAAUUAACAUCAUUGGUCCAUCAGUAAGACAUCUGACUGAAUUUACAUUAGAGCAUCCAAAAAAUACACCAUUUACACAAGAUUCUGAAAAAAAAAGUUUCUCAACUGUGAAGUUCUGACGGACUCAGUUUCAACCAACAGUCAAGUUUUCAGGUGAAGUGAAGGCAGCGUUUCCUGAGAACAGAGAGGACAAUUACAGUCAAAUAUCUACAGUAUGAGGAGACAAUAUUAGUUUUAACAUCUGAGGAAACGUGUUGGAUGUGAUGGUUCAGGAUUUUAUAUUUCUGAAAAAUAAACUUUUUCCAUGGCAGAAGACAUUUCUGAGUUCUCUGUCCUUUAUAUUGUUCUGUUUCUAUAAAGCUGCAGGACUUUAGAUUGAAAAAUUAACCACUGUGGAGGAAAAUGAAACAGCAGCAAAUAAAACAGCCUGAAACAGAGUCCAGAGGAUUAAUGAAACAACUGGCUGGACUUUUACAAAGAUUUUUUUAAUCUAUUGCGACCACAAACUCAAUAUUGCAGUAGUCUGAGCUGUUAUUCAUCUUUAUUUAUGAUGAUAUUAACCUUUUGGUUAUCGUUGCCCUUUUUCAUCAUUUACUGAGAAUGAAGGAGCUACAAAUUAAUUUGUCAUCCAAUCAUGAAUCAAGCAGAAGGAACAAACAGCGGCUUGUUUUUCAGGUGCCAUAUUUCAUGGUGCAGGAAAGGAGUGACCAGGCUGCUGGUAAAUGUGGUAUUUAACCGACGAGGACGAGGCGAAGGUCAGGACGCUCUGCUCAUGAAGGAAUCAGUGUUUGUUGGAAGCGUCCAUGUGACUCUGCUUCAUCAAACUGCAUCUGGUGGUUUGUGGAUUAAAGGGCAGUUCAGACAGAAGCGGAGUUCUUCACUUCCUUCUCAGAUGUUUCCCUGUUAAAGGGAGCUGCUGUUAUAUACAAAUACACACUUUGAUGUUGUGAGACGAUCAUUUAUUAUUUCUGUACAGAUGCUGAGAACGGAUCUUAAAUAACUAAUAUUUUUAAAAAUAGCUGCUUACACAAUUGCCGCUCCCAUUAAAUAAUUGUUUAACUUGUCCAUUUGUUUGUCAGUUCUUCCUUCUGACUGGAAAUCAGCCAUAAUCAUCCCUCUCUUCAAAGGUGGCUCUGGCUCUGACCCCAACUGUUACAGGCCAAUCUCCAUCUCAUCUUGCCUUGCCUGGCCAAAGUCAUGGAGAGGCUAGUUCACAAACAGCUAAGCCAUUUCAUUAACUCGACUCAUAUCCUGUCAGAUUUGCAGUCAGGUUUCAGAAUUGGCCAUGGGUGCAUCACCGCUAUGCUGAAGGUCCCUGAUGAUAUCUUUAUUGCUAUGGACAACAAGCAGGCCUGCAUAGACACCUUCAUAGACCUGGCCAAGGCCUUUGAUUCAGCAGACCACACGAUCCUUCUGCCAAGGCUCUCUAGCAUUGGCCUGUCCUCAAGCUGUAUUACCUGGUUUGCCAGCUACCUUAAUAAUCAUGAACAGCGAGUAAAGUCAGAGAACUUUAUGUCAAGACCAUUGAACAUCGCUAAGGUUCAGUCUUUGCUGCAGCAAUGGAUUGGAAUUCUGUCCAAAAAUCUCUGGAAGUGUCAUCGCUUCCAUCACCUUACAUCUUUAAACUGAAGCCGCAGCAGACCCUAGCUGACUGCUGCACAUGCUGUUUUCACUGAACUGCUAGCAUUAAUUUAGGGUGUUUUUAAUCUCUGUUUAAACACUUGUGUGUAUUAAUAUUAAACAACUUCUAAGGGGAUAAAUAAGAGUUUAAAAGAAAUAUAAUAAAGUAAUGCAGUUAAAUAUAAAAUAAAAUUACAUAUUAAAAUGUAAGUAAGUUAGUUAAAAUAAUAUAAAAAUGAGGUAAAUAAAAGAUUUUGAGUAAAAAAGCAAAAAUAUAAAACAAAGUAAAACGUUAAACAUUUUAAAAAGCUAAAAUAUAAAAAAUAUACAAGAUAAAAUAACAGUAAAAUACCAAUACAAAAAAUAACACUUAAAAUAUAAAAAAACAUUAAUCUAAAAAGAAAAUAUUAAAAACUGAAAAAUAGUGAAACAAAUCAUAUAUAAAUAUAAAAUUUAGAUAAAAUACAAACAUAGAACAUAUAUUUAAAAAUAAAUGCUGAAGUUAAUAUUCUAAUACAAAGAAGCGGCUCUACCUGUAGACCACUGGAAACUAAUGCGGAGCCACCAUUUCUGCUGCUUCUUCUUCUGUGGUGGUUGUUGGCGCGUACAACCGGAAACAGGUGGUAAAAUACCAACUAAAGCACAACAAACAUUUCAAUAAUUUUACGACAUCAAUGAAAGCCCGGAGGGGGGGCAGAAGUCUUAAAAAGUUAAAGCUCAAUGAUGGUAGAUUCAUAUAUUUAUCUACCUGCCAUACAUAUGUUAUAAACACUAUUUUUUGGUUUUAAUUUUUCUCUCCUUUAUUUAAAUAAUAUGGUCAGAAUAUUAGGAAGACUCUGACUAGAAGCGAAAGCUUAAAGAUAAUGAAGACCUGAAAAUUUAAACCUACAGGUGUAUCUAAUGAACUGGCUGAAUGUAUGUAAAGAAGCAGCUGCAGAGUUUUUGUUGUUUUUGUCAGUCUUAGACCCCCAACAACACAGACAGGAGAGAAAACUCAAAGACAGACACAGGGAAAUAAUGAAUUGUACUAAUUUAGAUCAAAAUCAAAAUAAAUUAAAAAGUAAAUGUAAAAAAUAAGAGGUUAAAAACAGAAAAAAGCUAAAUGUUAAUGUUUAAAUAUUCAUAGGAAAAAUAAAAUCUGACAAGAGAUUAAAAAGAGAAAAACUAGUAAGUUAUAAUAAUAAAAUGAUCAAAGCACAAAUGAGGAACAAUCACCAAGUAAAGAUAAACAGUAAAAUAAAAUCAUGAGGACUUGUUAAUGUUAACAAAGAGAGCAGACACGGCCGUCAUGGCUAACUUGUCUUUUAUUUGCACGUCCAAUGAGUGUUAACAAACCCAACACAGAGGUUAGCAUCCAGGUCUACAGCAGGGGGCGCUCAAACACACUAAAGCUCCGAGGACAUCAGACAGGAGAGAAACCAGCAAACAUCUUCACAUCUGUACAAAUCUACAGGCAGUCCGUCCGUCGGUCACAGCUUCAGUCCACAAACCAGAUCUGAGGCUUUGGGUGAUAAAAGCUGCUGCAGCGUCUUCACCGCUUCGUUACGUCUCUAAGAUUCAAAGUGAAAUUCAGUUUUACACACAUUAUUAAUCUCUGUAAGAGAAGCAAGCUGCAGAGCAGAUUUAAGGUGGAUUAACUUUCAAUUGGGACCAAAAUGUGCUUUCAAAAGUUCACUCACAGUGUAUCAACAAAAUAUUAAACCCAAUUCACGUCAGACAAACAUCCACUGGGCUGUAUGAAACAAAUCAAUAGAAAACAGCGCCAUCAGCUGGCCGACUAAAUCAUUGUGCAGGGAAAUGUUCACAGGGAGAGAUGCUUUACAAACAAGUGCAAAUCAAGAGUCCAAAUCUGUUCAAGAGAAUGACAACGUACAAAAUGCAUCACAGAGAGAAAGAGGAAGGAAGGCAGCGAAGCAGAGUAGAGUUAUGGCUGCUGAUCGCCUUUUAGACCUGUUGAAACAGCACCCAGACUGAGCUGUCCCUUCAUUUCAUGUUUCAUUUAAUCAGGAAACUACCAGCAGAUCCUUUGUUUUGUUCUUCAAGCUUUAAAGUUAUUCACUACAUUUGAGGAUAAAUAUAUUUAAAUAAUAAGCUACUCAUUUAUUUGAACUCAUUUAAAAUAAGAUGAUCAGACUUUUCAACAUAGGAAUUCACAUUCCUAAAAACAACAAAUAGUGUUAAAAUCAGCUGAGCAGGUGUUUCCCAAAAACAAGGAGCCUCUGAUUAUCAAGUGACUCCAGAAGAACAAGUUUUUAUGGUCUCAAAUGAAAACUUCCAGGAUAUUUAGGCUUCUUUUUAGGCCCUCACUGACUGUUGUUACGUAUAUAUCACACUGUUUAUUCCUUAGAAAUAUUAUCCUUAAUAAUUAUUAUUCCUAGUUUGUUCCUAAUUCACCAUAACUAACGUCUGUAUCAAACAAAAUUAUUAGCAAUUUAUCAGCUGUGAAAUUUAGAAUUUUAUAGGUGCAAAAGUUGAUUUCUAAUUAAAAUAUCUUCCAAAACGCUCUUUUAUUUUUGUUAGAGCUGAAUGCAGAAUGUGGACACUGAAGAUAAUUUAAAACCGAACCUGCUACAAAUAUGAACUUUUAGCAUUGAUUCAGACCGUAUUUAAUAAAGCUGCAGGUAGAACAUUUAGAUUAUUUACAGGAAAUCUGUUGACUUUUUUUUUUUUCAAAGUGACUAAUUGAUUGGUUGAAGAGUAGACUUUCUUUAGUUCACUACUGACCUAAAUAAAACCUUUUUUUCCAAACUGAUUAUGCACCAAAUGCCUGAUAUUUUCAGCAGAAAGACUUAUUUUUAUGUUUGUGUGUUUAAUGCUACAGGUGUUUCUUUGCGCAGAAAUCAACUCAGUCAAAGCCACAGCUACUGUCAGUGUGACACCUCUGACACAGACAGUCAGUCCAGGUUUCUUUGUCACACCUGUACGUAAGAGCGUCGUGGUGUCAGAGAUGAGAAGGUAACGAGCCUAAAACCACCAUCAGGAUCCACAACUGCCUCUGCUGCAGGAAAUCAGAGAAAUGCAUGUCACAAACAAGUAUUUUACAUCAUCUCCCCGCCUCCGUGAGCAGAAUUUAUUGUCAUGAUCUCAGGUCAGUCAGGAGAUGUUUGGUGUUAAUCCACAUUCAGUUAAAGUCCACAUUAAAAUGAGGGCAUCCAGCUCCUGCGGAUCAGUUCUGCUGCAGGAUGGGAGGAAACUGUAGGAAUCUGCAGGCUGCAUGCUGCCGACGAAAACAUCUUCGUCCCCCCGAACAAUGAAGUCUGUCGCUGAGGUGGAGCUUCAGGAGCAGGAGGUGGGAGGAGGUUUCUUAUUUGGUCCUUAGGAGUAAUUAUACUGGAUAUAUUAGUUAAAUGCAGUGUUACUGAGUAUUUAAACUGGACUUUCUGUUCUGUCAGAGCUCAAGUUUCUUCCUGUCAAUCAGUCAGCAAGAUGUCAGCAGCUCAACUCUUCAUCCCGAGUUUUUACGUAUUUCUUUUCAGACAGACAUGCGAUGAACUGCAUGACAACAACAGCAAGAGGGGGAUCUUUUCUUUUUUCAUGGAUUCUUUUUUCAUGUUAUUGGAGCAUUCCUUCCCCCGGAGGAGACACAACAACAGUCUUAGAAAUGGACUUCAUGGUUUCUAUUUGAAAAACAGCUUUUUCUUUUCAUCUGCUGGCUGAAGUAAAGAACUGCAGGAUUCUUCUUAUCAUUGCGAAUGUAGUGGUGGUAGAGAGAUAAUAGAGACAGAGAGAGAGUUUAACUAUCAUCACAACAGUGUGUGUGUCUGUGUGUGUGUUGUAUGUAGAUGUGUAUGAAUGUGUGUAGAUGUGUGUGUGCUGUACACUGAGUCUGAGUCCCAGCCAGGUCGCUGGUUCUGGUUCUGGCUCCUCCUCCUCAGUACUCGCUCAGGUUGUGCCAUUUGGAGAUCUGCCUGCGGGGGUUUUCACAGACCUCCCUCCAGUGGGAGGCACCAGAGGGGGCGGGGCUGUGCAGGCCCAGCAGCAGGCGGCCCAGAACCUCGUUCUUGGUGGUCCGGUCGAAGUCGACCACCAGGAACUCCACAGAGAUCUCAGGCAGCAGCUCAGGUGGGAUGUCGUAGAUGAAGGACUCGUUGAAGACGGGGUUCAGCGUGCACUUCUUCACGUGAGUCUUCUUCUUGGCGAUGCGCUUACGGCCGUAGAAGACGUUCACCUUCACGUAUGGAUCUGCGGACACAAGAAAGAUCACCUGGUUACCUGAGAUGCCUGGAUGUAACAUCUGAAAUCUGAGGAAGGGGAAAGUCAGUACAGGCCUCCUGCAGAGAGUGCUGCAUUAUGGGUAAUCUGCAGCCUUAUGGCUGCUCAGCUGGUCAGAGUUUAGAGCCAGUCAGCAUUAAAGACUUUAAACUGAUCUACUGCAACAGAGGAAAUAAAUUCAGAGGAGGAGUGAGAGAAGGAAGGAAGGAGGUAGAGAAUUAAAGGAGGUGUCUGAAUUCUUCAUUCUUAGCAGUGCCUGUAUCUGAACAUUCUCUCCUGUUCUACUCACUGGCUGACAGGCCGGUGAUGUCCAUCUUAGGCAGGUGUCGGGCCUUGAGGACGACCACGCUGAGGCGGUGAGACACCGGCUGGUAGGACAGAGAGGCCAGCAGCUCCCCACGACUCUCACACUGAAACAGAACCAGAGAAGAACAGACCGACUCCAUCAUCAGCUGCUUAUUUAAUCCUGCUGUCAGACACAACACGGGCUGAGCCGUCUGUCAGACAACAUGAUGUUCCUGCACAAGGUUUGUUCACUGAAUCCGAGCAGUUUCACUGUGAAGCAACAAUCACAGAAGAAGAAACUGAGUAAACACAGCAGCUGUUUCAGUCCAUGUCAGAUCAUCACAUUUAUACUUUCAUUUUUUAAUUUCUGCUCGACCAUCCCUGAUUUGCCUAAAACUUUUACAGCACAAAAUAUGGAGAUUUAUAAAGAUUUUUGUAUAACUAGCUUGAUACAUCCAAAACAUUUCAAGUUAGAUUAUUAUUUUUGAAAAUUUCUUGUUCACCCCAACAAUAUCUCAGGAACUACUAAAGAUAAAAACCUGAAAGCUUCACUAUUAUUUCUCAUCAUGUCAUUCAUUCAGACUGUAAUAUUGGACAAGUAGAUCGAAUAAUCUCUGAUUAUGGGUGAGUUGAAGUAUGAAAACAAAUUGAACCCAUCAUGAAAAGUUCCGUCUUUGAGCACAUUAACAAAAAAAAUUGUAAUGCUUUAGUAAAUGAGUGAUAUUUUCUGACCCACAUGUAGCUGCAGGUCACAAUAAUACAAAACUAAACUAAAUAUAUAAUAUUUUAAUAUAAAAUAAUUGGUCAUCAGUAUUUCUCACAGACUGGAGCAGAGAAGCCAAAAUAUAUCCAAUUUCGACAAGACUUUUUAAUUUCUUAAAAAUGACUUAAAACCAUUAAUCAACUAUCCAAAUCCUGGAAGAUGAAUUUAUUAGAUAACUAAUAAUUAGUUCUACUCUGUCUAUUAAACAAACAUGAGUCAGACACUGCUGUAUUGGUAAAUGUGUCCAACACAUCAGCUCUGAUCUAAUUCAGUUGCUCUAAUGAAGCUGGAAGUUGAGCGGCAGACUUUUCUGACUUUUGGAGGUAAACAUUUCAUUCAUUUUACAAGUAAAUUGCUGAUUGCUACCAUGGCCAAUCUUAACAUUAACAGCCUCUCAAACCAGAGAAUUGUCCCACAUUAUAGUUAAAUGUCUUGAAUUCUGGACAAAGCAAGACACGUGGUCACAUCAACCUGAGCUCAGGAAAACUGUGAGGGACUCACUUUCUUUUAUCUUUGUUGACCAAAUAUUUAUAAAAUUUAGUUUAGCAGAGAAAAUAACUGGGAGGUUAACUAAUAUGAAUAAAAACAUCGAUACCUACAACUCUAGUUAAAUAUGACAGAAAUCAGCCGGUACAAGGGCCUUAAGAAGAUGAGACAGAGACUGAUUUUCCAGAAGAACAAGACUCUGCUGUUCAUGUUUAAAUGUAAUUUUUCAGAGCAGCUCAAACUAAAUCUCAGACAGAUGAAGUAAAAUAAUUAACUCCUGAAUGUUCUUCUGCUCUGUUUUGUUUUCUGAUUUUAAACCCAGUAGAGAAGCAGACAAAACAGAUGAGUCAUGUUCAGUUCAUCAGUGACAUGUCUGCUGCAUUCAGCAGCUUUAACCUGAUGAAGAUAGAACAAAAGGGAGUCUGUCACUGAGACACUCUGACAUCUGAUCAUCUGAACCCAGCAGAGGUCAGGCAGCCCGUUUCCAUGGUAACACACAAUACCAUCAGCCAUUAGUCAGCUUCAACAACAACACCAACAGGCAGAGGAAUGUUCUCACGUGAAGUCGCGCUGUCAGGAGGACGAAGCUGAAACUGAAUCUCUUGGAACCGAAUGUCAGACAACAUGAAGAAUAUCUGUAAUAAUAAACACUGAUGGCAUUUUUCUUCUUCUUUUCCAAAGCAACUUGCACAUAAAUUAUACCAAAUAUUAAGUAAUCAACUAAAAAUGCCUUAAACAAUAGUUCCCAUUUAAUUUAUUAUUAAGUCUAUGAUUCACCUCCAAACCCCAGAACCUGAGAAGAAUUAUUAACAAAAUGUCACCAUCAGCCAGAAAUUUUAAAGAAUUGUCAGAUUUUCAACUUUCAACUGGCUCUUGAAAUAAUUAUGUUAGACUUCACUCACCUGCAUGUUCCUCUUGGUGAUCUCCUGGCUCAGAUGGACUCGGCCUGUGCUCGGGUCGACGCCCUUCAGUGGCACCACAGCCUCCCCAAUGACGUCAUCGCGAGCGAAUCGGUCGAAGCUGAGGACCAGGAAGUGCAGGGUGAGCUCGGGCAACGAGCUGUAGGCCACGCCGUAGAAGGUGAAGGUCUCAUCGAACAGUGGGUCCAGCGUCUUCCUCAGCACACGGGUCUUGACGCGGUGCUUCUUCUCCGGCAGGAUGGUCAUCUUCACGUACGGGUCUGAGCUGCCCGCCUGCUCGUCCAUGGCGGGAAGGCCACGAGCACCGACGAUGGUCACCACCAGCGCCUUCUUGGGGAAGUUGUAGUCGACAGUGAGGCUGAUGGACCCCAGGCUGGGCUCGGGUUCUGGCUCCGAGGAGGCAGGCGUGAAGGGCGAUGCUGUCUUGCUGCUGGUCUGGCUACUGCUGGCCGAGCUGCUGUCCAGGCAGCAGUAGUCGGCUCGGACCGGCAGCGCCCGCUCCAAUCGGGCCUGGCUGUGGGCGAGGCCUGAGCCGGCGGGCGGGACCAGGUGACUCAUCUGCAGCUGACCUGGGACGUCCAGGAUGUUGUUCUCAGCGUCCACCAGCACCAUUCCCCUCCCUGCAGCACCGCCGCAGCCUCGCUCCCCGUCACGGUCGGACCGGUCGGCCCGCCGGAUGCCGCGGACGAUCCGCUUGCUGCUGCUAAGGGAUUCUGGGUAAAUGCUAAUGCCCUUCAGCAUGUGGAUGAACUUAUAGGGCGGGUCCUCAGCGUCGCAGUAGCGGUCGCCAUGUAGCUUAUAGCGUCCAGAGACACGAAGGUAGCGGCGCUGGCAGAAAGACCAGAGCAGAACCAGAACCACCACAACCAGAACCAGAACACCAGCUCCCAGGAAGCCUGCCAGCACCGGAGACAUGGCUGCAACCGAGACAGAAAAACACACAGAGCCACAACUGUCAACACACCAUCAGGCCUGGCUCUUCAUGUCCUAGAGCAGUGUUUCAUCAGACCAAUAUCCACUGACCUGUCUAGCUUGUUGGAUCUGCUGGGAGAACUGGCUCCUACACUAGCUUAGCUCAUCGGGUCAUUUGGACAUGCAAGCCUCACCACCAUGACAAGCUAACUGGCCAAGAAGAGACUGGUUGCGUGUCAGACAUCAGGAUGAGGAGGCUUCCAAACCAGUCUUAUGGGAGCCUACCAGAGGUAAAACUAGCAGAGGAAGAUGGCCUCUAGCUCCACGGACUGCCUGAAACUGAUGCACAGGCUGAGAUCAAGUCGUUAAUGACAGACUGCAUCUUCUGGGGAGGGACUGUCAGUUCAGCUCGAACUAUUGUCCAUCCAAAUUUUUGCAGCUACAACACAUUUCUACACACUGUGACCUGCAGCAGCACAUCAAUGACUUUGCAGUCAGGUGAUGUGUUCAUCCUACAUAUCCUUCUCCUGCAGCAAAACACAAAACUUGUCAGAUCAAGCUGUCAGACAGCCAGAAAGUGUCCUGGAUGGAAACCUAAUGCAGAUGUUAACUCGCACCGAGGCAGCUGCUCUGUGUUUCCCUUCAGUCAGACUGACACCCUUUCUGGAAGCUGCAGGGAGUGUUUACGCUGUUGGUGCAUUUCCCAUAAUCUCUGCAAUGAAGGUGCAAACUCAGCACACAGACACAGUAUAUACACACUAUACAGAGAAAAUGUGACACCAAAGAAAAUCUUGGCCAUCAUUAAAUUUAGAUUGGAUUUAAAUGCCUGGUUUGUUGACUGAAGCUGGAAUUUGGUAUAGAAUUCAAUUCAAUUCAAUUUUAUUUAUAUAGUGCCAAUUACAGGUCAAAUUGUCUUAAGAUGCUUUACAGAACCCAUUAUAGAACCUUUGUCAGGACAAUUUUUUUUUGUACUAUUCUCACAAUUUUUAUCACAAAGAUAGAUUAAAUGAUGACGAAAACCAGUAAUAGUGUUUAUGUUAAACAUGCACGUGAAACAGCAGUAAUUAUGUCCAUGCUGGUUUCUUUAGUUUCAGAAUUGUCUAUCGACUGAAAAUCGUGUAAUUUUUGUCUACAAAGUCCUGAACAAACAACUUUGUGUAACAUGAAUUUCUACAUAGAGAAGAUUCUGUACAAUAUCAACAGUACUUCUGUUUAUUUCCGCUUAUUUUAAUGUUACUGACUUAUGUUGCUAUAUUUUUGCACUGUUGUCUUUGCUGCAGAUUUUCUACUGUGGGAUUUAUAAAGAAUUACCUUAUAAUAAUACAGAAGAAAUAUCGUAUGUUUUGGGUAUUUUUUGUGUCUGCUGUAUAUGUGCACUUUUGUGUUUUGUGAAACAGUUCGCUUUAGUAUGUUAGUCAUAUUACUGUUGCUUUUCUUUGCAGGAGCACUUCACAGACUGAACUACAAACCUGGUUCUAUCUGAGUUUGUUAGAAAAUAGCUUUUCCUCUUGUUGUGUUGGUCUCUAAAAUACUGUAAAGUUUUGACCUCACUGCAUUUACAAAAUAAACUGAACGGAGCUGCAGAAAGUCCUCCUUCCUGUUGUUGUCGGCUUUCAUUCAGACUCCAUCAGAUGAUGUCAUGUUUUGGAAAGAGCCGAAAGCAGCUGAGCUCGCUGCCUAGCAACCAACACACACGCGCACACACACACAUACACACACACACACACACACACACACACACACACACACUGAGUUGACUUACACUCAGGAUAAACUCAGUAACUCUGUUUUUCAAUCUUCCAGUAAAGCACUCAUUUUUGCGUUUCUCUAAUGAUUUAACACAAAAGUGAAAAUAUUCACAUUGAAGAAGCCGCAGUCACUGAAUUUAGACAGUUUUUAUUAAAAGAUUACUCAAACUGAUUAAUUAAUUGUCAUACUAGCUGAUGAUUAAUUUAACAGCUGACAGCUACUGGAUUAAUGGUUGCAGCUUUACACAGCAUCACAUGUUCGACUGAUUUUAAAAUAUGUUCUCCACAACGUCAAAUAAAGCUCCUCCUAAACUAACAGCACCAGAAGAUCAACAUGUUCUGGAUUCAUUUAGGGAGUCGACAUGCUGCAGUGAAACAGAACAAGGACAUAAAAUAAAAAUAAAAUCACAAGUCAGCAGCAGAAGUUAAAGAUCUCGUCCUCCAUUUGGAGUAUUUUGGAUUCAGCAAGUUCAGGUGAAGUUAAAUAAGGACAGAAACAGAGACUUUGUGUCCCAAAGCAACAGAGCUAACAACCAGCUGCAAAACAACACAAACUACAGCAGGAUCAACACAUGAAGGACAAAAAGAACUAACAUUACUUCACUUUAGUUCCAUCGGCUAUACAACGUGUCAACGUGUUGCACAACCUGAGACUGAAGCAGCUCUGUUGCUUUAAUUUUUAGUAAAAACUCUUUAGCUGUCUGAUCUUUUAUGUCCAAAAGAUAGCAGGAAUACUGCAACAUGGACGUGAAAGCAGCCAUUAAUCGAUUAGCUGUCAACUAAUAACUUAAUCCAUUAAACUAUUUUUAGAAAUAAUAUAGGAAUUUUAAAAUUAUAAACAGUCUGAAUUCUCUGACUGCUGAUUCUUCAAUGUGAAUGUUUACUGGUUUCUUUCCUCUAUGACUGUAAAAUGAAGAUCUUUGGACAAAAGACAUUUGAGGAAAUUCUGAUCCACAUUUUUCACCAUUUUCUGACAUUUUAGAGACCAAACAACUGAUCAAUUAAUGCAGAAAAUAUCCAAUUAAUUAACUGUUAAAAUACCUGUCAGUAUUUGUACUGUUUAAACAUGGAGUUGCAACAACAAUAUUUUGGAUGUAAAAACAAUUUGUUAA
Molecule: long non-coding RNA, 18618 nt
Organism: Amphiprion ocellaris (clown anemonefish)
Lineage: Eukaryota; Metazoa; Chordata; Actinopteri; Pomacentridae
Exons: 4
Source: RefSeq, a predicted model, not a curated record